This 497-nucleotide ribosomal RNA is filed under the name uncultured bacterium. RNAcentral describes it as "partial 16S ribosomal RNA". It matches the Rfam family "Bacterial small subunit ribosomal RNA", at positions 28 to 507 of the family's 1533-position model. The record is from RNAcentral.
GAUGAACGCUGGCGGCGUGCCUAAUACAUGCAAGUCGAGCGAACGGACGAGGAGCUUGCUCUUCUGACGUUAGCGGCGGACGGGUGAGUAACACGUGGAUAACCUACCUAUAAGACUGGGAUAACUUCGGGAAACCGGAGCUAAUACCGGAUAAUAUUUUGAACCGCAUGGUUCAAAAGUGAAAGACGGUUUUGCUGUCACUUAUAGAUGGAUCCGCGCCGCAUUAGCUAGUUGGUAAGGUAACGGCUUACCAAGGCAACGAUGCAUAGCCGACCUGAGAGGGUGAUCGGCCACACUGGAACUGAGACACGGUCCAGACUCCUACGGGAGGCAGCAGUAGGGAAUCUUCCGCAAUGGGCGAAAGCCUGACGGAGCAACGCCGCGUGAGUGAUGAAGGUCUUCGGAUCGUAAAACUCUGUUAUUAGGGAUGAACAUAUGUGUAAGUAACUAUGCACGUCUUGACGGUACCUAAUCAGAAAGCCACGGCUAACUACGUG